GACGAACGCUGGCGGCGUGCUUAACACAUGCAAGUCGGACGGAAAGGCCCUGCUUUUGUGGGGUGCUCGAGUGGCGAACGGGUGAGUAACACGUGAGUAACCUGCCCUUGACUUUGGGAUAACUUCAGGGAACUGGGGCUAAUACCGGAUAGGAGCUCCUGCUGCAUGGUGGGGGUUGGAAAGUUUCGGCGGUUGGGGACGGACUCGCGGCUUAUCAGCUUGUUGGUGGGGUAGUGGCUUACCAAGGCUUUGACGGGUAGCCGGCCUGAGAGGGUGACCGGCCACAUUGGGACUGAGAUACGGCCCAGACUCCUACGGGAGGCAGCAGUGGGGAAUAUUGCACAAUGGGCGGAAGCCUGAUGCAGCAACGCCGCGUGCGGGAUGACGGCCUUCGGGUUGUAAACCGCUUUCGCCUGUGACGAAGCGUGAGUGACGGUAAUGGGUAAAGAAGCACCGGCUAACUACGU
This 467-nucleotide ribosomal RNA is filed under the name uncultured bacterium. RNAcentral describes it as "partial 16S ribosomal RNA". It matches the Rfam family "Bacterial small subunit ribosomal RNA", at positions 28 to 506 of the family's 1533-position model. The record is from RNAcentral.